Molecule: ribosomal RNA, 442 nt
Filed under: uncultured bacterium
Lineage: Bacteria
Description: partial 16S ribosomal RNA
Rfam family: Bacterial small subunit ribosomal RNA
Source: RNAcentral
CCUACGGGCGACAGCAGUAGGGAAUCUUUCACAAUGGGCGAAAGCCUGAUGGAGCAACGCCGCGUGCAGGAUGAAGGCCUUCGGGUUGUAAACUGCUUUUAUAAGCGAGAAAUAUGAUGGUAACUUAUGAAUAAGGAUCGGCUAACUACGUGCCAGCGGCCGCGGUCAUACGUAGGAUCCGAGCAUUAUCCGGAGUGACUGGGUGUAAAGAGUUGCGUAGGUGGCAUAAUAAGUAGCUAGUGAAAUCUGGUGGCUCAACCAUUCAGACUAUUAGCUAAACUGUUAAGCUCGAGACCGUUAGGGGUAACUGGAAUUUCUAGUGUAGGAGUGAAAUCCGUAGAUAUUAGAAGGAACACCAAUAGCGUAGGCAGGUUGCUGGGACGGUUCUGACACUAAGGCACGAAAGCGUAGGGAGCAAACGGGAUUAGAUACCCCAGUAGUC